Molecule: ribosomal RNA, 705 nt
Filed under: Triticum aestivum (bread wheat)
Lineage: Eukaryota; Viridiplantae; Streptophyta; Magnoliopsida; Poales; Poaceae
Description: partial small subunit ribosomal RNA
Source: RNAcentral
UUCCAGUACCUGGAAGAUAAAAUUGCGGGCAAGCUCCCUCCCUGGCAGGGAAGACAUGUGGGCUCUGCGGGCCGUGUGGUUCUUGUUAAGGCCGUCCUAACUGCCAUUGCUAUCUGCCAUCUCACGCCUCUCGACAUCCCGGUGGAGGUCCUCAAGAAAAUCGAUAGUAUUCACCGUGCAUAUCUUUGGGCAGGCUCAGACAAGGUGUCUGGAGGAAAAUGCAAGGUUAACUGGGAGCUCAUCUGUAAGCCCAAGGACAAGGGUGGGCUCGGAGUGCUUAACCUAGAUAAGUUCGCCAAGGCUCUACGGCUCCGAUGGCUAUGGUUUGAAUGGACUGACAAGAGCAAGCCAUGGAUUGGCAUGGGGACGCCGUGCACGGAGGAUGAUCGACACUUCUUUGCGGCUGCCACCACGGUCCUUGUCGGCAACGGACGAACGACGCAAUUCUGGAACUCGACGUGGCUCAAUGGCUUGCGCCCCCGUGACAUAGCGCCGGACAUCUUUAACCUUUCUCACAAGAAGAACUCAACGGUCCAACAAGCCAUGACCAACAACAUGUGGAUCGCUAAUAUUGAUGGCACCAAUGGUCUGUCCGUUGCGCAUAUCGAGCAGUUUGCUGACCUUUGGGAAAAAUUAUCAACGGUGGCCCUUGAGAAAAAUUAUCAACGGUGGCACAUGAGCUUAAACUCUGAGUUUGCAUUAUAA